This 484-nucleotide ribosomal RNA is filed under the name uncultured bacterium. Its description in RNAcentral is "partial 16S ribosomal RNA". It matches the Rfam family "Bacterial small subunit ribosomal RNA", at positions 30 to 507 of the family's 1533-position model. The record is from RNAcentral.
AUUGAACGCUGGCGGCAGGCCUAACACAUGCAAGUCGAGCGGAUGAAGGGAGCUUGCUCCUGGAUUCAGCGGCGGACGGGUGAGUAAUGCCUAGGAAUCUGCCUGGUAGUGGGGGAUAACGUCCGGAAACGGGCGCUAAUACCGCAUACGUCCUGAGGGAGAAAGUGGGGGAUCUUCGGACCUCACGCUAUCAAAUGAGCCUAGGUCGGAUUAGCUAGUUGGUGGGGUAAAGGCCUACCAAGGCGACGAUCCGUAACUGGUCUGAGAGGAUGAUCAGUCACACUGGAACUGAGACACGGUCCAGACUCCUACGGGAGGCAGCAGUGGGGAAUAUUGGACAAUGGGCGAAAGCCUGAUCCAGCCAUGCUGCGUGUGUGAAGAAGGUCUUCGGAUUGUAAAGCACUUUAAGUUGGGAGGAAGGGCAGUAAGUUAAUACCUUGCUGUUUUGACGUUACCAACAGAAUAAGCACCGGCUAACUUCGUG